RNAcentral lists this ribosomal RNA (253 nucleotides) under uncultured bacterium. RNAcentral describes it as "partial 16S ribosomal RNA". It matches the Rfam family "Bacterial small subunit ribosomal RNA", at positions 524 to 776 of the family's 1533-position model. The record is from RNAcentral.
GACGAACCGUGCGAACGUUGUUCGGAAUCACUGGGCUUAAAGGGCGCGUAGGCGGGCGGGCAAGUCAGGGGUGAAAUCCCACGGCUCAACCGUGUAAGUGCCCUUGAUACUGCCGGUCUCGAGGGAGGUAGGGGCGUGCGGAACUUCCGGUGGAGCGGUGAAAUGCGUAGAUAUCGGAAGGAACACCGGUGGCGAAAGCGGCGCGCUGGAUCUCUACUGUCGCUGAGGCGCGAAAGCCAGGGGAGCAAACGGG